Molecule: ribosomal RNA, 217 nt
Filed under: Salmonella enterica
Lineage: Bacteria; Pseudomonadati; Pseudomonadota; Gammaproteobacteria; Enterobacterales; Enterobacteriaceae
Description: partial 23S ribosomal RNA
Rfam family: Bacterial large subunit ribosomal RNA
Source: RNAcentral
CGAAUGGGGAAACCCAGUGUGACUCGUCACACUAUCAUUAACUGAAUCCAUAGGUUAAUGAGGCGAACCGGGGGAACUGAAACAUCUAAGUACCCCGAGGAAAAGAAAUCAACCGAGAUUCCCCCAGUAGCGGCGAGCGAACGGGGAGGAGCCCAGAGCCUGAAUCAGCAUGUGUGUUAGUGGAAGCGUCUGGAAAGGCGCGCGAUACAGGGUGACA